UCGACCUGAGUUCAGGCA
Molecule: ribosomal RNA, 18 nt
Filed under: Parietochloris sp. CCALA 1082
Lineage: Eukaryota; Viridiplantae; Chlorophyta; Trebouxiophyceae; Trebouxiales; Trebouxiaceae
Description: partial 26S ribosomal RNA
Source: RNAcentral